Molecule: microRNA precursor, 111 nt
Filed under: Paramuricea clavata
Lineage: Eukaryota; Metazoa; Cnidaria; Anthozoa; Malacalcyonacea; Plexauridae
Source: RNAcentral
CGCGUUGAAAAAAUAAUAGGGUCGGCAGAAAAAAAUAGGGUCGGUCGGGAACUGGAACCACAGGUAUUUUUUUUACGCCCUAUUUUUUUCUGCCGACCCUAUUAUUUUUUC